RNAcentral lists this ribosomal RNA (1342 nucleotides) under uncultured bacterium. Its description in RNAcentral is "bacterial SSU rRNA". It matches the Rfam family "Bacterial small subunit ribosomal RNA", at positions 28 to 1381 of the family's 1533-position model. The record is from RNAcentral.
GACGAACGCUGGCGGCGUGCUUAACACAUGCAAGUCGAACGAUGAUGCCCAGCUUGCUGGGUGGAUUAGUGGCGAACGGGUGAGUAACACGUGAGUAACCUGCCCCUGACUCUGGGAUAAGCGUUGGAAACGACGUCUAAUACUGGAUAUGACUGCCGGCCGCAUGGUCUGGUGGUGGAAAGAUUUUUUGGUUGGGGAUGGACUCGCGGCCUAUCAGCUUGUUGGUGAGGUAAUGGCUCACCAAGGCGACGACGGGUAGCCGGCCUGAGAGGGUGACCGGCCACACUGGGACUGAGACACGGCCCAGACUCCUACGGGAGGCAGCAGUGGGGAAUAUUGCACAAUGGGCGAAAGCCUGAUGCAGCAACGCCGCGUGAGGGAUGACGGCCUUCGGGUUGUAAACCUCUUUUAGUAGGGAAGAAGCGAAAGUGACGGUACCUGCAGAAAAAGCACCGGCUAACUACGUGCCAGCAGCCGCGGUAAUACGUAGGGUGCAAGCGUUGUCCGGAAUUAUUGGGCGUAAAGAGCUCGUAGGCGGUUUGUCGCGUCUGCUGUGAAAUCCCGAGGCUCAACCUCGGGCUUGCAGUGGGUACGGGCAGACUAGAGUGCGGUAGGGGAGAUUGGAAUUCCUGGUGUAGCGGUGGAAUGCGCAGAUAUCAGGAGGAACACCGAUGGCGAAGGCAGAUCUCUGGGCCGUAACUGACGCUGAGGAGCGAAAGCAUGGGGAGCGAACAGGAUUAGAUACCCUGGUAGUCCAUGCCGUAAACGUUGGGCGCUAGAUGUAGGGACCUUUCCACGGUUUCUGUGUCGUAGCUAACGCAUUAAGCGCCCCGCCUGGGGAGUACGGCCGCAAGGCUAAAACUCAAAGGAAUUGACGGGGGCCCGCACAAGCGGCGGAGCAUGCGGAUUAAUUCGAUGCAACGCGAAGAACCUUACCAAGGCUUGACAUACACCGGAAACGGCCAGAGAUGGUCGCCCCCUUGUGGUCGGUGUACAGGUGGUGCAUGGUUGUCGUCAGCUCGUGUCGUGAGAUGUUGGGUUAAGUCCCGCAACGAGCGCAACCCUCGUUCUAUGUUGCCAGCGCGUUAUGGCGGGGACUCAUAGGAGACUGCCGGGGUCAACUCGGAGGAAGGUGGGGAUGACGUCAAAUCAUCAUGCCCCUUAUGUCUUGGGCUUCACGCAUGCUACAAUGGCCGGUACAAAGGGCUGCGAUACCGUAAGGUGGAGCGAAUCCCAAAAAGCCGGUCUCAGUUCGGAUUGAGGUCUGCAACUCGACCUCAUGAAGUCGGAGUCGCUAGUAAUCGCAGAUCAGCAACGCUGCGGUGAAUACGUUCCCGGGCCU